Molecule: ribosomal RNA, 253 nt
Filed under: uncultured bacterium
Lineage: Bacteria
Description: partial 16S ribosomal RNA
Rfam family: Bacterial small subunit ribosomal RNA
Source: RNAcentral
GACAGAGGUGCCAAGCGUUAGGCGGAAUCACUGGGCUUAAAGCGUGUGUAGGCGGAUUGGUAAGUGCCUUGUGAAAUCCCACGGCUCAACCGUGGAACUGCUUGGCAUACUGGCGGUCUUGAGCAACCUAGGGGCGAGCGGAACAAAUGGUGGAGCGGUGAAAUGCGUAGAUAUCAUUUGGAACGCCAAUGGUGAAAACAGCUCGCUGGGGGUUUGCUGACGCUGAGACACGAAAGCCAGGGGAGCAAACGGG